UAUUCUCAACUCCACCAGCUUUUGUGGCUGGCUCUUGGAGAUUGGAUGUGGAGGCUUUGCUGGCCCUUGGUCAGCUCCUCUGAAAUACAUUAGCGGAACCGUUUGUGAUCCGUCACAGGUGUGAUAAUUAUCUACGCCAGUGGGUUGCUCUCUGUCUGUUCAGCUCAUAAUUGUCCUGGAACAUGGACAAACUAUAAUGAAC
This 202-nucleotide unclassified non-coding RNA is filed under the name uncultured Micropsalliota. RNAcentral's name for it is "sequence contains ITS2". The record is from RNAcentral. Lineage: Eukaryota; Fungi; Basidiomycota; Agaricomycetes; Agaricales; Agaricaceae.